ACAAACUUGGUCAUUUAGAGGAAGUAAAAGUCGUAACAAGGUUUCCGUAGGUGAACCUGCGGAAGGAUCAUUAUUGAAAGCUUUUGGGGGAUACUGUUGCUGGCUUUUUAACAAGGCAUGUGCAUGUAUCUCUUGAACUCAUUCAUCCACCUGUGCACCUUUUGUAGAAUGUCUAAAGUACAAAUCGGUUUUGCAUGUGUCUUUAGGGACUAUUGUGAAUAAUGAUAUGGAAAAAGGACUUCUAUGUUUUACAAACAAGUUAAGCAUGUUUAGAAUGUUGUUUUAUUGGGACUUGAUUGACCCAUAGAACUUGUACAACUUUCAGCAACGGAUCUCUUGGCUCUCCCAUCGAUGAAGAACGCAGC
This 365-nucleotide unclassified non-coding RNA is filed under the name uncultured fungus. Its description in RNAcentral is "partial contains small subunit ribosomal RNA, internal transcribed spacer 1, and 5.8S ribosomal RNA". The stretch from base 1 to 73 matches the Rfam family "Eukaryotic small subunit ribosomal RNA", at positions 1759 to 1831 of the family's 1831-position model. Lineage: Eukaryota; Fungi. The record is from RNAcentral.